GCUGGCGUGGCUCAACGGUAGAGCGGGCGCUUUGUAAGCGUCAGGUUGCAGGUUCGAUUCCUGUCGCCAGCUCCA
Molecule: transfer RNA, 75 nt
Filed under: Lachnospiraceae bacterium
Lineage: Bacteria; Bacillati; Bacillota; Clostridia; Lachnospirales; Lachnospiraceae
Description: tRNA-Thr
Rfam family: tRNA
About the family: Transfer RNA (tRNA) molecules are approximately 80 nucleotides in length.
Source: RNAcentral